This 270-nucleotide long non-coding RNA is filed under the name Sinocyclocheilus grahami. Its description in RNAcentral is "lncRNA (ENSSGRG00000025366.1)". The record is from RNAcentral. Lineage: Eukaryota; Metazoa; Chordata; Actinopteri; Cypriniformes; Cyprinidae.
CUACUACAGUCUGCCAGAUUCAGAGACUGUAAGAGGUACAAACCCACCGCUGGGACUGUGAGCUUCACACCUGGACUCGUGCCAUGCUGUGUUGGGUGGCACCCAUGUGCCCUCGUCUGCUGACUCCUACACUUCCAUUGUACUCAGUGGAAAGCAUGAAUAACGAAGAGCUCCGGUCUUAAAGAGACUCUGUUUUGGCACCAUCUCAACGGCUGCUAUGACAACUCUGCGGCCUAUAGCAGCGGUCGUCAGACAGCGAGCGGCGUUAGA